RNAcentral lists this unclassified non-coding RNA (1084 nucleotides) under Hevea brasiliensis (rubber tree). Lineage: Eukaryota; Viridiplantae; Streptophyta; Magnoliopsida; Malpighiales; Euphorbiaceae. The record is from RNAcentral.
CAGAACUUUCUUCAAUAAACGUUGUUAUUGAUACUAUACAUGUAAUGGGGAAGGCGUUGGAUUUUUCUUUAGCUUUUGUUGGGUGGGAAGGGGCGAGGAAUGAUAGGUUAUGGUCAGAAUCUAACAUUACAAUUAAUAUGAACAAUGCUGUAGAUGAGCAGUUUGAGAGAAUUAAGGGAGUAGGGGCUAAAUAAAAUGCACAAAUGCUUCAAAAUCCAGCCUGUCUGCAGCUGAAACCCCAAUUGCUGAACUUGAAAGCAAAAAUCCUUUUAGAUAGCAUCAAAUCAACUGAAUUAUUGCUCAUUAUUUGGAGACUGCAAGAAAUGCUUGCCAAAUCAAGAGAGAAAUUUGACUCUUGCGUGGUCUAGAAGCACAGGACAGAGGGCACAGGCAGCAGCUACUGGAAUGAGAUUCUUUGGAGCCUGUUAAAUAGUCAUCCACCGGCUGAUGGUAUAGCAUGAACACCACUACCCCAAAAAGGGAGAAAAGAAAAGAAACAAAAUGAAGCUCGCAUUGUCGCUUAACCUGAUUUUAUAUACAAAUAUAGCCACUUCAAAGAAAAUGACUCAGGCGGUCAUUAUUUUUUGAAUAUACUUCUCUUAACUUUUUCCUGCUUGUCUAUGUUAACAACAAAGAAAAAAAAUUGUCUUAACUGGAAUCAUCAGAAGCUCCUGAAGACAACCUGAGACUGCCCAAUCAUUGCCAUCUUUACACAGAUCCUGAACCAAGAAAAUUAUUGCAGCCUUCAAUAGUAGAACUAAAAUUCAUGUCAAUGCCCGCAUUUUACAAUUCCCAUCCUUCAGGGUUCAGAUGUCUCCAAACAUGUUAUGACUAACAAAUUUAUGAGGGAAAAAAAAAAAAGAGCUAAACUAAUCUCCAUCCAGGAAAAAACAAUUGCCAGAAAGAUGGUACACUCUGGUAUGAGAAUUCUACAACCCCACACAUACUUAUAGUUGGGGUCCUGUAACUUUAUUCACUUAUUUCUUCAACAACAGUCCUGCUUCACCAUAAAACUGCCACUUUUUACAACCUCACAAUCAUUUCUGUAGAAGUUGAUGAAUAAAUAUCCUUAAUACCAAUCCUG